GUGCUCGCUUCAACAGCACACAUACUAAAAUUGGAAUUACACAGAGAAGAUUAGCAUGAUCCUGCACAAGGAUGAAGAGUAGGUUUUACAUUUUUGU
RNAcentral lists this small nuclear RNA (97 nucleotides) under Theropithecus gelada (gelada). The record is from RNAcentral. Lineage: Eukaryota; Metazoa; Chordata; Mammalia; Primates; Cercopithecidae.